Molecule: long non-coding RNA, 1317 nt
Filed under: Gadus morhua (Atlantic cod)
Lineage: Eukaryota; Metazoa; Chordata; Actinopteri; Gadiformes; Gadidae
Description: lncRNA (ENSGMOG00000034311.1)
Source: RNAcentral
GCAGAGGUCGCGUGCAACGGACAGGCCAGGCGCGAGGUGAGUAGAAGAGUAGGUGAGUGGUGUUCAAGACUGCAGAAAAAACCAUAGCCUAAUUUAACAUGAGACGAAAGUCUGUUCUUUGUACCUGUGUCUAUUUGUAUCAUUAGUGACUUAAAUAUUCGAUCAAAACUGAAUAAGUGACCAAAACAGAGCGUUCUCUUGGUUAAGCCUCUAAGUGUACAAUUGUGUGUUCUCGAAAAGUGUUUAAAAAAAGGAAAGUGUGUUUUGACAACUUGCCCAUCUAUUACAAACUUCUGAUCAGGCGUAGUCCAAACGUCCAUAAGGGGGCAGCAUUGUAUGUGUUUCGGUCCAGUAGUUAUCAUAUUACGUUCGUUGUCUCCUCAGCACCGUGACGCCGCUCCGGUUCCAGAAUCCUCCACGAGGGGUCCCCAACGUUAAGUCAUCCUCGGCCGUGAGGGGAAAGAUGAGCAGUCCAAGCAGCCCUUCGUUCAUUCACAAACUCAAAGCCAUCCACGCAGUGGUGAUGAGGAUGCUGUUAAUCCAGCACAACCUCAGCAGGGGACUUUCCCGCAAGAAGCCCUCGGAACAUUCAGCUUCCAGGAUUCCGGAAAAUUCAGCAUUCAGAAUUCCGUGCCCUCUCCCAGCUCUGGGGUGAGGUCUCUUGAUCUGUCAUUUUCUCUCUCUCCCUCUCUCUCACUCUCUCCCUCUCUCUCUCUCUCUCUCCCCCUCACUCCCUCUCUCUCUCUCUCUCUCUCUCUCUCUCUCUCUCUCUCUCUCUCUCUCUCUCUCUCUCUCUCUCUCUCUCUCUCUCUCUCUCUCUCUCUCUCUCUCCCUCUCUCUCUCUCUCUCUCUCUCUCUCUCUCUCUCUCUCUCCCCCUCACUCCCUCUCCCUCUCUCUCCCUGCGGAGGAACAGGAACACCUUCUCAUGGCAGAGGUAAGGCACUGGCAGAGGCUAACCACUGGGAACCACUUCAACCAGCACGGACUGAAUCACAGAAAAAGCAGGCCACUUCCCCGGAACUCUGGCCGCAUAUUAAAGGUCUAUUAAAGUGUAUUUUAGCUGAGUUAGACCUGCCGAUGUCAGGGUCAAGUGAGGACAGAGAAUAAGGUUGUGUUAUUUUCCCUCAUGGUCAUUUCUAUCAUGUGGUUGAGCGUUUCAAGCAGAAUCACAUAUGUGCUAUUUCGAGUUACACUGAACCAGCAAAAUUAAAACUUCAAAUCAUAUUUUUUGUUAAAAUUGGUAAAUUAUCAUUUAUUUUAAUAAGUGUAAAAUUGCUUAUGAAACAUUUCAACCUAGUUUCAACAAGCGAUGUUGG